RNAcentral lists this ribosomal RNA (402 nucleotides) under uncultured Eubacteriales bacterium. RNAcentral describes it as "uncultured Clostridiales bacterium partial 16S ribosomal RNA". It matches the Rfam family "Bacterial small subunit ribosomal RNA", at positions 355 to 774 of the family's 1533-position model. The record is from RNAcentral. Lineage: Bacteria; Bacillati; Bacillota; Clostridia; Eubacteriales.
UGGGGAAUAUUGCACAAUGGGGGAAACCCUGAUGCAGCAACGCCGCGUGAGCGACGAAGGCCUUCGGGUCGUAAAGCUCUGUCUUAGCUGACGAUAAUGACGGUAAGCUAGGAGGAAGCCACGGCUAACUACGUGCCAGCAGCCGCGGUAAUACGUAGGUGGCGAGCGUUGUCCGGAUUUACUGGGCGUAAAGGGAGCGUAGGCGGUCUUUUAAGUGGGGUGUGAAAUCCCUGGGCUUAACCCAGGAAUUGCAUUCCAAACUGGAAGACUAGAGUGCAGGAGAGGAAAGUGGAAUUCCAAGUGUAGCGGUGAAAUGCGUAGAGAUUUGGAGGAACACCAGUGGCGAAGGCGACUUUCUGGACUGUAACUGACGCUGAGGCUCGAGAGCGUGGGGAGCAAACA